RNAcentral lists this transfer RNA (71 nucleotides) under Cavia porcellus (domestic guinea pig). It matches the Rfam family "tRNA". From Rfam's summary of the family: Transfer RNA (tRNA) molecules are approximately 80 nucleotides in length. Their secondary structure includes four short double-helical elements and three loops (D, anti-codon, and T loops). The record is from Rfam by way of RNAcentral. Lineage: Eukaryota; Metazoa; Chordata; Mammalia; Rodentia; Caviidae.
GGGUGUGCCUCAGGGGUACACAGCACAUGCCUAGAAAGCGUGAGGCCUGGGUUCAAUCCCCAGCACAACCA